AAAUUUAAACCAACCUUCAUCCCAGUGUCUUCACAAAUGCUCAGCAAAGAAAAUUCCUAAGACAAUUCAGGGACCUCUCAUAACCUUACUGAGAGACGUUAAUAAAGAACCUUAGUAACUUGACUCUCAACUCUACUACCAACCCUUCCCCUCUAGCAGAAGUUUCACCCCAACAACAGGAUAGAAGAGAAACAAUCUUCCAGGACAUCAGAGAUGGCUUGCCUUACAGGAGGAAAUUAGUAAGAACAUUGCUCUCUGUGGGGAAAGAAAGGAUGGUAAAAAUCGAGAUACCUAUUAAUAGAUUUUCUCAGCUUGAAAGAGAACUGACACUAGGCUUAAGGGAGCGCAGAAUGAAUCAAGAAGUGAACCAUUCAAAUGUGGCUGCAGUUUUUGUGUGUAUCACAGAUGGGAUCCUUCUGAGAAUGCUAGAAAAGGGAAUUAUGACACAGAGCCUAUUCAGCCAUAA
RNAcentral lists this long non-coding RNA (466 nucleotides) under Homo sapiens (human). RNAcentral's name for it is "non-protein coding lnc-USP29-1:1". Lineage: Eukaryota; Metazoa; Chordata; Mammalia; Primates; Hominidae. The record is from RNAcentral.